UACGGAGGGGGCUAGCGUUGUUCGGAAUUACUGGGCGUAAAGCGCACGUAGGCGGCUUUGUAAGUUAGAGGUGAAAGCCCAGGGCUUAACCCUGGAAUUGCCUUUAAGACUGCAUCGCUUGAAUCAUGGAGAGGUGAGUGGAAUUCCGAGUGUAGAGGUGAAAUUCGUAGAUAUUCGGAAGAACACCAGUGGCGAAGGCGACUCACUGGACAUGUAUUGACGCUGAGGUGCGAAAGCGUGGGGAGCAAACAGGAUUAGAUACCCCAGUAGUCC
RNAcentral lists this ribosomal RNA (273 nucleotides) under uncultured bacterium. RNAcentral's name for it is "partial 16S ribosomal RNA". It matches the Rfam family "Bacterial small subunit ribosomal RNA", at positions 524 to 796 of the family's 1533-position model. The record is from RNAcentral.